This 710-nucleotide long non-coding RNA is filed under the name Olea europaea (common olive). RNAcentral's name for it is "long non-coding RNA (OEUR_LNC012216)". Lineage: Eukaryota; Viridiplantae; Streptophyta; Magnoliopsida; Lamiales; Oleaceae. The record is from RNAcentral.
UUAAAUUGCUAAUAUGAAUAGCUCAAAUAAUAUCAUCAAUCAUGAGGGUAAUAUAGUACGCGAAAAAAUACCCCUUAUUGCUUUGUUCAGCAGUAGAAAUAGAUGAGGAUUUUCUGGUUCCUCUGCAAUACAGCAAUAACUUCGACAAACAAAACAAAAAAUUCCCUCAAAAAUCCAAAAAUCUCACCUGAGACAUAUAUAGAUGCAUAUACAAAUAUACACUUGGAAGAUAGAGUAAGGAAACUUUGAAUACUACAGCGUUGAUCUAGAAGGACGAGCCUGUGCCAAGACUGAUGCAUCUUAGACGGACUUUGUCAACUAAAUCUUUACCAUGCUUGCAACCUUCUCUUGGCAAUGCUUUCCCCCAUAGUCACAAUCAAUUACAUAUGGUAUUAUCCAUUAGUGAGAUGUAUAAUUUUUUAAAUUAAUCCCACAUAGCAGUAUUUCCAAAUAUUAGAAACAGUAGGUGAUAUAUGUCAAUAAUUUGUUCAUAUGAAAUUAAAGAAUUUUGAAUGAAUGCAUUUCUAUAUUAAGAGAAUUUAACUACCUUCAUAAUCUCCUAAGAAGAGUUAGUACUCCAACAAGAUUCAACAACAGUUUUGUAAGCACAAUUUGAAUGGUAAUUGGAACUAACACUCGUGCAAGGUCAGCAUUGAUAAAAUUAUUUGUAAUAUCGGUAAUGUUAACUCCAUAUUCAAUUUGAAUGAUUG